Molecule: small nucleolar RNA, 65 nt
Filed under: Hucho hucho (huchen)
Lineage: Eukaryota; Metazoa; Chordata; Actinopteri; Salmoniformes; Salmonidae
Description: Small nucleolar RNA SNORD94 (ENSHHUG00000024291.1)
Source: RNAcentral
CUAGCAAUGAUUAUAAGCGCAGGGGUAUGUACCUCAGCUGAUAAUGGGAGCUGAGUUGGUGCUAG